GUGAGUCAUCGAAUCUUUGAACGCACAUUGCGCUCCCUGGUAUUCCGGGGAGCAUGCCCGUUUCAGAAUCAUUGAGCAUCUCACAAGCCUUGUGUUUUCGAACAUGGGCAAGUGGAUCUGGAUGCUUUGCGUUUUUGCAAGCAUCUGAAAAUGAUUGUAUGUGCACCAAUUGGUAUUGCCAGUUGGGUUCCAACGUGCAACAGAUUUAUCUAUUUCGCGGAGGCAACCUUGAUUGACUGCCAGCCGGAGCGCAUGCUCACAAGCGAACACGGUGGUUGCAUCAUAUUGAUGUCGGCUUCC
RNAcentral lists this unclassified non-coding RNA (300 nucleotides) under uncultured Spizellomyces. Its description in RNAcentral is "sequence contains 5.8S rRNA gene, ITS2". The stretch from base 1 to 71 matches the Rfam family "5.8S ribosomal RNA", at positions 84 to 154 of the family's 154-position model. Lineage: Eukaryota; Fungi; Chytridiomycota. The record is from RNAcentral.